AAGGGUGGCUAUUUUGAAGAAUCUAAAAUAUAAAACAUGUUUUGACUUAUUUUACACCUUUUUAUUUACUACAUAAUUACAUUUGUGCGCAUUCAAAGUUUUGAUGCCUUCAGUGAGAAUCUGAAAUGUAAAUAGUCAUGAAAAUAAAGACAAAUCAUUAAAUGAGAAGUUGUGUCCAAACCUUUGACUGGUACUGUGUAUUCUCAUAUUUCUUGUGUUAAAUUGCUAUGAAGCUAAACUAAUGUCAGUUAAGUACAGUAAGAUAAAUAGUCAUGAAUAAGUAGUGUUUAAGUUUCUAAAAUAAAUUACUUAAGGAAUUAUUAAAAACUCUACUCAUUCUAAAAUGAUUUAAUAAUUUUAGUCUCAGAUCUAAAUGAUGGAAAUAGUGUUUUAAGGAGUCACUAGAUUUUUUUUUUAAGGUGUCUGCCAUUUGGCCUUUUUUUCUGACCAAAAUCGUGAUUUGCCACAGUUUUUCUGUCAUGAUGCUACUGUUCAUGGCAGCACGUGUUCUCUCAGUUGCAUGCUGCCGAAUUUAACCUAAAAGAAUACUAAUUUAACUUCAUUAAUAUGAGUGAGGUGGGGGUGGGGGACAAUAUAAAUCUACAUGCUGCUCUAAAUAAACACAGUGCACAGACGUAAACCUGUGCUCAAGUUACACAAAACUAAUGUAACUUGCUCAUCAAGGCUGCCAGUAACUAGGAGGAGCUGGGAACUUGGGCUAAACUAAAAGUUGUUUUUUUUGUUGUUGUUGUUGUCACUGAGUGAAAUGGCCCAGACGAGCUGGUCAAAUUCUCUGAAUGCUGAAUAAAGCUUCACUGUUUUGUGUCUUAUCUCCUUUAGCAGAGGAUACACUGGACCAUCCUCACAAAAGAAAAGGAAAUUCUCUCCCACAAUUCCUUUCAGCAGCAACAUUCAUAGGAACAUACCAUCCCAUCCAUGGCAUAUAGCAAGCUGUUUUAACAUUUGAGUUCCGUGGACCGCACUGCCCCAAUCCUGCAACCUCAGUAACUCAUCUGCAUUCCUGUACUCACCUCUGGACCCUCCUGCCUGCUCGGUUCUGCCCGGCUGCUUGCCGGACCCUCGGACCGUUCUGCAUGCUUGGUUCUGUCCAGCCACUUGCCGGGCCCUCAGACCCUCCUGCCUGCUUGGUUCUGCCCGGCUACUUGCUGGACCUUCAGACCCCCGUCCCUUCCCCACCAGUGAGCUUAGUUUAAUUCCCUUCUUGGUUUUUCCUUUAGUUCUGGUUUACUGUUUAUUUAAUAGUGUUUAGUUAAAUCCUUAAUUGAUACUCUUUCCACUCAUCAUAGUUUGGUCUAGUUUUGUUGUCCAUUUGUUAAAUAAAUCCUUCUUGAAUCCUGA
Amphiprion ocellaris (clown anemonefish) is the source of this 1359-nucleotide long non-coding RNA. RefSeq lists it as uncharacterized. The transcript has 2 exons. Lineage: Eukaryota; Metazoa; Chordata; Actinopteri; Pomacentridae. The record is from RefSeq and is a predicted model, not a curated record.